This 313-nucleotide long non-coding RNA is filed under the name Nicotiana benthamiana. RNAcentral's name for it is "long non-coding RNA (NBEN_LNC036182)". The record is from RNAcentral. Lineage: Eukaryota; Viridiplantae; Streptophyta; Magnoliopsida; Solanales; Solanaceae.
UUUCUCAUCUGUUUCACUCUCUGCCUAAAGCCACUAGCUGGAAUCGACUGUGGCGGUACCACACCAAUCAACCCCAAAUUUUCACCAUUAAAUUAUGACAAAAACUCAUUGAAUUACUCAAAUUUCGAAUCUCAGAACCAAAGCCUAGCUGAAAUUUGAUCUUUCUUCAUGACCUUGAUCAAUUGGUCCUCUUUUACGGUUGACACUCGCAUCAGUAGGAAGUUCUUGAUAAGUGUUAUUCACUGAUGUAAGAUUCAUUACGUUUCUCAAAGGUGACGUUUUGGUCAGCUGGUUGUUGGUCGAUCUAUGCUCC